RNAcentral lists this ribosomal RNA (422 nucleotides) under uncultured Ruminococcus sp. RNAcentral's name for it is "bacterial SSU rRNA". It matches the Rfam family "Bacterial small subunit ribosomal RNA", at positions 355 to 794 of the family's 1533-position model. Lineage: Bacteria; Bacillati; Bacillota; Clostridia; Eubacteriales; Oscillospiraceae. The record is from RNAcentral.
UGGGGAAUAUUGCACAAUGGGGGAAACCCUGAUGCAGCGACGCCGCGUGAGCGAAGAAGUAUUUCGGUAUGUAAAGCUCUAUCAGCAGGGAAGAAAAUGACGGUACCUGACUAAGAAGCCCCGGCUAACUACGUGCCAGCAGCCGCGGUAAUACGUAGGGGGCAAGCGUUAUCCGGAUUUACUGGGUGUAAAGGGAGCGUAGACAGCGAGGCAAGUCUGAUGUGAAAACCCGGGGCUCAACCCCGUGACUGCAUUGGAAACUGUUUUGCUUGAGUGCCGGAGAGGUAAGCGGAAUUCCUAGUGUAGCGGUGAAGUGCGUAGAUAUUAGGAGGAACACCAGUGGCGAAGGCGGCUUACUGGACGGUAACUGACGUUGAGGCUCGAAAGCGUGGGGAGCAAACAGGAUUAGAUACCCUGGUAGU